RNAcentral lists this unclassified non-coding RNA (53 nucleotides) under Leishmania tarentolae. RNAcentral's name for it is "guide RNA". The record is from RNAcentral. Lineage: Eukaryota; Euglenozoa; Kinetoplastea; Trypanosomatida; Trypanosomatidae.
AAGCACAUAUAAAACAAACAAAAAAUGAAAAACAGAGAUUGUAGAUAGAUAUU